This 298-nucleotide ribosomal RNA is filed under the name Gymnodinium cf. pulchellum. RNAcentral's name for it is "partial small subunit ribosomal RNA". It matches the Rfam family "Eukaryotic small subunit ribosomal RNA", at positions 601 to 903 of the family's 1831-position model. Lineage: Eukaryota; Dinophyceae; Gymnodiniales; Gymnodiniaceae. The record is from RNAcentral.
AUAUUAAAGUUGUUGCGGUUAAAAAGCUCGUAGUUGGAUUUCUGCCGAGGACGACCGGUCCGCCCUCUGGGUGCGUAUCUGGCUCGGCCUGGGCAUCUUCUUGGAGAACGUAUCUGCACUUGACUGUGUGGUGCGGUAUCCAGGACUUUUACUUUGAGGAAAUUAGAGUGUUUCAAGCAGGCACACGCCUUGAAUACAUUAGCAUGGAAUAAUAAGAUAGGACCUCGGUUCUAUUUUGUUGGUUUCUAGAGCUGAGGUAAUGAUUAAUAGGGAUAGUUGGGGGCAUUCGUAUUUAACU